This 344-nucleotide small nuclear RNA is filed under the name Cercocebus atys (sooty mangabey). RNAcentral's name for it is "7SK RNA (ENSCATG00000020379.1)". It matches the Rfam family "7SK RNA". Rfam says of the family: 7SK was discovered as an abundant small nuclear RNA in the mid-70s but a possible function has only recently been suggested. Two independent studies have found that 7SK RNA binds the CDK9/cyclin T complex (known as elongation factor P-TEFb). Lineage: Eukaryota; Metazoa; Chordata; Mammalia; Primates; Cercopithecidae. The record is from RNAcentral.
GGAUAUGAGAGCGAUCUGGCUGAGACGUCUGUUACCCUAUUGAUUGCCAGGGUUGAUUUGGCCACCUGGCUAGCUAGGUGUGUGUGCUCUUCUUCCCUCACCACUUUAUGUACGUCCCUCAAUAAGUGCGCACUCUGUGGAAGAGGACGUCCAUCCCCCAGAGAAGAGGACCAGUCUUCGAUCAAAGGUAUAGGAGUAGUUGCGCUCCUCUGCUAGACUCUCCAAACAUGCUUUUUUUUUUUCUUCUUCUUUUUUUUGAGAUGGAGUCUCAUUCUGUUGCUAGGCUGGAGUGCAAUGGCAUGAUCUCAACUCACUGCAACCUCUGCCUCCCGGGUUCAAACGAU